This 57-nucleotide microRNA precursor is filed under the name Homo sapiens (human). RNAcentral describes it as "Hsa-Mir-3194_pre stem-loop". The record is from RNAcentral. Lineage: Eukaryota; Metazoa; Chordata; Mammalia; Primates; Hominidae.
GGCCAGCCACCAGGAGGGCUGCGUGCCACCCGGGCAGCUCUGCUGCUCACUGGCAGU